This 496-nucleotide ribosomal RNA is filed under the name uncultured bacterium. RNAcentral describes it as "partial 16S ribosomal RNA". It matches the Rfam family "Bacterial small subunit ribosomal RNA", at positions 29 to 507 of the family's 1533-position model. The record is from RNAcentral.
AUGAACGCUGGCGGCGUGCCUAAUACAUGCAAGUCGAGCGAACAGAUGAGGAGCUUGCUCCUCUGACGUUAGCGGCGGACGGGUGUGUAACACGUGGAUAACCUACCUAUAAGACUGGGAUAACUUCGGGAAACCGGAGCUAAUACCGGAUAAUAUAUUGAACCGCAUGGUUCAAUAGUGAAAGACGGUUUUGCUGUCACUUAUAGAUGGAUCCGCGCCGCAUUAGCUAGUUGGUAAGGUAACGGCUUACCAAGGCAACGAUGCGUAGCCGACCUGAGAGGGUGAUCGGCCACACUGGAACUGAGACACGGUCCAGACUCCUACGGGAGGCAGCAGUAGGGAAUCUUCCGCAAUGGGCGAAAGCCUGACGGAGCAACGCCGCGUGAGUGAUGAAGGUCUUCGGAUCGUAAAACUCUGUUAUUAGGGAAGAACAAAUGUGUAAGUAACUAUGCACGUCUUGACGGUACCUAAUCAGAAAGCCACGGCUAACUACGUG